This is a long non-coding RNA of Homo sapiens (human), 627 nucleotides long. NCBI's taxonomy places the organism in Eukaryota, Metazoa, Chordata, Mammalia, Primates, Hominidae. The record is from Ensembl.
AGCCUAGCCUGCUAGUACAAGAAGGAUGAGAGUCACAUGGAGCACAACUGCCCCAGCUGAGAACAGCCAACCACAACUGUAGUGCAAAAUUCCACAUCCACAAAACCCACCUGGCCAGUGAUGGCUUGGGUAAGGACGGAGAAUGCAGUGGGAUCAGAACCCUAGAGUGGGCAUGAAGAGGAGAAAAAACAAAUUCUGAAAUCACCAUGGAAACACUACAGAGAUAACCUUCAUAUUCUGGGCAUCAGCACAAUCCUCCAAAUCCCUUUUGAAAACAAAUGCAUCCUUAUUGCUACGGCAGCCACUUAAUCUAGACACAAAUACAGCUAUAUUAGGUGCACUGUAAUGAAAAGUGAGGAAAGGAGAGUAGAGGAGGAGGAGGAGAGAUAAAAUAUUUUAGAGAACAUUUAUAAACAUUCCUUGUAAAGUUGAUAAACAAUCUUUGAAAGACACAGAAUCCAAAAUACAUACGAAGAUUAUGUGGAUUACAAAAGAAAGCACUGCUCAACUUGUAAGAGACCUUAAGUAUUUUCUAACAGUUGCUUGUAAGUUAAAUGUCUCUUCUUCCCAGCCUACGCAAAUGAUGCUCAUGUUUCCCUAAUCACAUCCAGUUGUAUUUACACAAAA